CCACCCGCCUCUGCCUCCCAAAGUGCUGGGAUUGCAGGCAUGAACCACCGCGCCCGGCCCUCCAUUUUGUACAAUGAUUAAAGAGGCGCAAAGACGAAGAAGGGAGAAAAAUGCCCGUGGGCAUCUUUUUUUCUUUUUAGUUAUCUUUGUUUUCUAGGCAAAAGAGCAGAGUGAAAGCAUCUGUCUGCUGAUUUCUCCACCAGUCUCUCCCUGUCGACCUGCACAGGGACACAAGUGCAAUCCAAUACUGAGACAAGGACUACUGUGGCUCUCUAGUCGCUUGAGAUGGGAGUGGCAGGGCGCUGGAUGGCCGAACGAAGACUGUCGGGGAAUAAGAGGCCUUCAACAUGCGAGAAGCAGAAACCAAUACGGAUCAACAUUCCCUACGGAUAUUCCAUAAGACUGAUUCAUAUUCAUAUUCCUGUAUUUCCUCAGUCCCUCCAAUAUUGCCUGGGAACUUCUGGUAACAGCAAACGGAGGCCCCAUAUGAAAAAAAACAGGAAAAGGUUUUGUCACAAUGGAAAAUACAUGCAGAGUAAAAGGGUAAGAUAUUUCUGAAGGAAAUCAGAAAAGCCCCAAAUCGAGACUUGAUUCUUAUUACUCAUAAGAGAAGACUGAAGCUUUAACAAUUAAUCUGCUUAGAACUGCAAUGUAAACUGCACGCAGCUAUUACCUGAUUUUUAUUUCCACUACUUUUCUUCCAUCACAAGCCCUAUGCAGAAAAAAAAGUGCCUCAGCAUCACUCAAAGCAAAUGAUACAGCAGGAGAGAGAAGGAGGAAGAGAAGAACCAGCUUUACAAGAUCUCUGGAUCAUGUUUCCAUGCCAACUGUAAAAUUCUUUGCCUUGCCCUAGAUCCAAAAGAUUUUCAUCCAUGUUUUUUUCCCAAAAGUUUUAUACUUUUACAUUUUAUGUUUACAUCCUUGAUCCAUUUUGAGUUCAUUUUUG
This 946-nucleotide long non-coding RNA is filed under the name Homo sapiens (human). Its description in RNAcentral is "HSALNT0362749". Lineage: Eukaryota; Metazoa; Chordata; Mammalia; Primates; Hominidae. The record is from RNAcentral.